RNAcentral lists this small nucleolar RNA (106 nucleotides) under Helianthus annuus (common sunflower). RNAcentral describes it as "Plant small nucleolar RNA R71". It matches the Rfam family "Plant small nucleolar RNA R71". Rfam says of the family: R71 is a member of the C/D box family of snoRNAs containing the C (UGAUGA) and D (CUGA) box motifs. Lineage: Eukaryota; Viridiplantae; Streptophyta; Magnoliopsida; Asterales; Asteraceae. The record is from RNAcentral.
AGACCAUGAUGAGGGCAUUUUCUUAAUAACUCUUGAACCUUUCUCAAGUUUUAUAUAAGGAUUCCCCGUCCUCUUGCAAAUAUGUAUUAAUUUCAGUCAUUAAUUU